GGCUGGGGCUGCAGCUCGCUCGUCGUGUUCUGCUGUUUCCUUGUGUGAAAUGUCAGUAGCAGCGGCCGGGAUGUUCUGAGGAAAUCAGACCACAGAGGAGGUAGCAUUUGUAGUGAGGGUCUGUUCCCCGUGGGACCGUGGUCAGCUUGUGUUGCGGAAGAGAAAAGAAGUGCUGGCGAGGCUGCGGGGGAGAGGAACCUGUUUGUGUUGUUGGUACUGAAACUAGAGCCGCUACGGAAAUCAGUGUGGAGAUCCCCAAACAACCAAAAGUAGAAACCCUGUGUGGCCCGGCUCUCUCCCUCCAAGUGUCUUCCCACCGGAGUUAAAGGCAUCUUAGUCCCUGGCCAGCUCCACCGAAGUUGUGGUCUUCGCCUUGUGCUGCUUUAUUGUCCUCUGCGAUGUCCUCUCCUAUGGUGCUGAGUCUGGGAUGCAGAUAUUCCGGGAAAAAGCCAAAACUGUGACGGCGUGUUUGUUCAUCAUGCUUUCUCCUCUAGAUGGCAUAUUAAUCUACAAAAAGGAAUAUGAUGAACUUUAAAAAGAGAAUAAUCCUACCAACAUUUUUGAAGAACUGCCCUGUCCUCCGAGAUGAAGCCUUUGAUAAAAUCUUUCUGUAGUAAUUGGAAAGAUAUGUGAAUAAAUAAGGAGGCAGAAGGAUAAAGGGAGGCUGGAGCUGAUCACCGCGUUACAUCAUGUGUUGAAAUACCACACUGAACUCCAUUAAUAUAUAUAAUGAAUACAUGUUAAUAAAAAUAAAAUCGUUUAAAUAUCCAUAUAUAUUCAGAUGGAGCAAGAAAAACAAUAUGAAAUUGCUGUUGUGACUAUAAAAGUAUUCAUAUUCUUUAAAAUAGGAAAUUUUUGUUAUGCAUAUUAAAAGUUAUAUCUAAA
This is a long non-coding RNA of Fukomys damarensis (Damara mole-rat), 885 nucleotides long. RefSeq lists it as uncharacterized. NCBI's taxonomy places the organism in Eukaryota, Metazoa, Chordata, Mammalia, Rodentia, Bathyergidae. The transcript has 3 exons. The record is from RefSeq and is a predicted model, not a curated record.